UACGGAGGUGGCAAGCGUUAUUCGGAUUUAUUGGGCGUAAAGGGCGCGUAGGCGGUUUUGUAAGUCAGAUGUGAAAGCCCGGGGCUCAACCCCGGAAGGGCAUUUGAUACUGCGAGGCUUGAGUAUGGGAGGGGGAAGUGGAAUUCCUGGUGUAGAGGUGAAAUUCGUAGAUAUCAGGAGGAACACCAGUGGCGAAGGCGACUUCCUGGACCAAUACUGACGCUGAUGCGCGAAGGCGUGGGGAGCAAACAGG
Molecule: ribosomal RNA, 253 nt
Filed under: uncultured bacterium
Lineage: Bacteria
Description: partial 16S ribosomal RNA
Rfam family: Bacterial small subunit ribosomal RNA
Source: RNAcentral